GAUGAAGAACGCAGCGAAAUGCGAUAAGUAAUGUGAAUUGCAGAAUUCAGUGAAUCAUCGAAUCUUUGAACGCACAUUGCGCCCGCCAGUAUUCUGGCGGGCAUGCCUGUUCGAGCGUCAUUUCAACCAUCAAGCCCCCGGCUUGUGUUGGGGACCUGCGGCUGCCGCAGGCCCUGAAAACCAGUGGCGGGCUCGCUAGUCACUCCGAGCGUAGUAAUACAUCUCGCUCAGGGCGUGCUGCGGGUUCCGGCCGUUAAAAAGCCUUAUUUACCCAAGGUUGACCUCGGAUCAGGUAGGAAGAUCCGCUGAACUUAAGCAUAUCAAUAAGCGGAGGA
This 335-nucleotide unclassified non-coding RNA is filed under the name soil metagenome. Its description in RNAcentral is "partial contains 5.8S ribosomal RNA, internal transcribed spacer 2, and large subunit ribosomal RNA". The stretch from base 1 to 120 matches the Rfam family "5.8S ribosomal RNA", at positions 35 to 154 of the family's 154-position model. The record is from RNAcentral.